AACCACGGACGGCCGUGGCACUGAUGAAUAAAGGCGGGACGGCCCGC
This is a regulatory RNA element of 47 nucleotides. It matches the Rfam family "Guanidine-II riboswitch aptamer (mini-ykkC)". From Rfam's summary of the family: Simpler in structure and has fewer highly conserved nucleotide positions than the ykkC-yxkD leader. Despite this each of its two stem-loop structures directly bind free guanidine. The record is from Rfam.